UCUCUCUCUCUCUCUCUCUCUCUCUCUCUCUCUCUCUCUCUCUCUCUCUCUCUCUCUCUCUCUAAGUUAGCACACCUCUCACCAGCUGGACCCAUCAAUCUCUGUGACAGGUGAUUGUCUGUCAGUCUGCUUCUUAUUGGGUGGCAUCCAGAAAAGGAAACAACAAAUUCUCAGUCAGUCAGUGAGCCCACCUCCACAGUCUGUCACUGUAUUUCUAUUGAGUGUCCCAUACAAUCCAUCCAUGUUCACAAGGUAACUUACAAGGUACUGAUAAGGAGUGAAGAAUACUUGUAAUAGUUUCUCUUUUAGCAGCUAGGCUAAAGAGUUCAGUCUGCUGUCUGCUUGAUGUCAUGCUGCCCUGUGGCGGUUGGUCCACUUUGACCCCAGCUUUAGGAGCUAGACGUCAGUGGUCGUCAAUAACAGCCCUGACUGGGUGGGUGGAUGGGAGGCAGGCAUGUGUUUCUGAAGAGAAGGCCUGAGGCUUUCCACUGUCUCUGUAGCUCUGAAAAUAUGGUGUUAUUAGUGUCUGCGUCUCUAUAACUGUGUGUGUGUGUGUGUGUGUGUGUGUGUGCACGCGUGCAUGUGUGCGUCUGUGUGUGCACGCGUGCAUGUGUGCGUCUGUGUGUGUGUGUGUGUGUGUAUGUGUAUGUGCGCGUCUGUGUGCGUGUGUGUGUGUGUGUGUGUGUGUGUGUGUGUGUGUGUGUGUGUGUGUGUGUGUGUGUGUGUGUGUGUGUGUGUGUGUGUGUGUGUGUGUGUGUGUGUGUGUGUGUGUGUGUGUGUGUGUUCGUGUGUGCGUGUGUGUGUAGAGGCCCAAACAUAUCUGGACUGGUAUGUAGCAGCAUUGGUUCAGGGAGGCGUGCGACUUCAGGCCAGACAGGAUAAAUGAGAAUUUGGCAGUACGUCCAACCUGCCUCACAACCGCAGACCACGUGUAACCACUCCAGCCCAGGACCUCCACAUCUGACUUCUUCACCUACGUGAGCAUCUGAGAUCAGCCACCCGGACAUCUGAUGAAACUGACAAUUAUUUCUGUCUGUAAUAAAGCCCUUUUGUGAGGAAAGCACUCAUUCUGAUUGUCAGGUCCUAACUCCCCAGUGGGUGGGCCUAUGCCCUCUCGGGCCUAUGCCCCCCCAUGCCCACCCAUGGCGGUGCCCCUGCC
Molecule: long non-coding RNA, 1159 nt
Filed under: Salmo salar (Atlantic salmon)
Lineage: Eukaryota; Metazoa; Chordata; Actinopteri; Salmoniformes; Salmonidae
Description: lncRNA (ENSSSAG00000098043.1)
Source: RNAcentral